UACGGAGGGUGCAAGCGUUAUCCGGAUUCACUGGGUUUAAAGGGUGCGUAGGCGGAUAGGUAAGUCCGUGGUGAAAUCCUGCAGCUUAACUGCAGAACUGCCAUGGAUACUAUUUAUCUUGAAUGUCGUGGAGGUUAGCAGAAUAUGUCAUGUAGCGGUGAAAUGCAUAGAUAUGUUAUAGAACACCGAUUGCGAAGGCAGCUAACUAAGCAUAUAUUGACGCUGAGGCACGAAAGCGUGGGGAUCAAACAGG
This 253-nucleotide ribosomal RNA is filed under the name uncultured bacterium. Its description in RNAcentral is "partial 16S ribosomal RNA". It matches the Rfam family "Bacterial small subunit ribosomal RNA", at positions 524 to 776 of the family's 1533-position model. The record is from RNAcentral.